CUCUCACUUCACAUUUCAGGUCAACGCUUCAGAAGCUGUUCGUACAAGACUGCUGUUUCCAGGGAAUGAGGAAGUGUGAAUGCGUCAGACUGUGUGGGACGCCACAGUUUCACAAUGAGAGAGAGUACAUGAGCGCUGGUGUAAAGUUAACUGAACUAACUUCAGACUAUGGAGCCGUCUGGUCUCACGUCUGGUGUGAUGAGGAACGUGUGUGGAUCAGCCGACACUUUACCCUUUAAAACUGAGCUGAUAAAUAAAUCUCUCUGAUCACUCGGUCUGAAUUUUGACUGCAGUAAUGUGUGUGUGUGUGUGUGUGUGUGUGUGUGUGAAAUGCUUCUCUAUAAUCAUAACCUUUUGCCUUUGAGCUUCGCCUCGCUGUGCUCCACAUAACUCACUGAUUCAAGCUUGACCUUAGACGCUGUUGGAUUUGGUGAAACUGUGAGACUGAAAUGAAAGAUGAACUGAAA
Long non-coding RNA from Tachysurus vachellii, 467 nucleotides. RefSeq lists it as uncharacterized. The record is from RefSeq and is a predicted model, not a curated record. Lineage: Eukaryota; Metazoa; Chordata; Actinopteri; Siluriformes; Bagridae. The transcript has 2 exons.